Non-coding RNA from Paramuricea clavata, 307 nucleotides. The record is from the annotation of a GenBank genome assembly. Lineage: Eukaryota; Metazoa; Cnidaria; Anthozoa; Malacalcyonacea; Plexauridae.
UAUUUUUCAUCACUACCUGAAUCAAAAAUAAUUUUACCCAAUAUCCGAUUUUUUCCUCUUGUGUUUUUUAACUGAAGAAUCAUUCUUGUUAGCACCUGAUUCUGAGGUUGAGUUAUUUUGGGACUGUACAUCAUGUUUUUUACGCUUCUUUUUUUCUUUUUUACAAGAGUUUUCGUUAAUGUCCAGUACUGUUUCCUCAUGAUUUGUUUUUAGUGAUUUAUUUUUCUUGUUUGUACUGUCUUCAGCACUACCUUCAGAUUGGUCUAGAGACAACCUGUGAUCUUCAGUUGAUCUUGAAUUCCCACUC